GCACCGGAACACGUCAAAACUCCGAAAUUAAGCGUGCUUGGACGAGAGCUGUACUAGGAUGGGUGAUUCCCUGAGAAUUCCUCAUGUUGCAUCCCUC
RNAcentral lists this ribosomal RNA (97 nucleotides) under Oryza sativa Japonica Group (Japanese rice). Lineage: Eukaryota; Viridiplantae; Streptophyta; Magnoliopsida; Poales; Poaceae. The record is from RNAcentral.